AGCAUAUCAAUAAGCGGAGGAAAAGAAACUAACAAGGAUUCCCCUAGUAACUGCGAGUGAAGCGGGAAAAGCUCAAAUUUAAAAUCUGGCGGUCUUUGGCUGUCCGAGUUGUAAUCUAGAGAAGUGUUAUCCGUGCUGGACCGUGUACAAGUCUCCUGGAAUGGAGCGUCAUAGAGGGUGAGAAUCCCGUCUUUGACACGGACUGCCAGGACUUUGUGAUGCGCUCUCAAAGAGUCGAGUUGUUUGGGAAUGCAGCUCAAAAUGGGUGGUAAAUUCCAUCUAAAGCUAAAUAUUGGCGAGAGACCGAUAGCGAACAAGUACCGUGAGGGAAAGAUGAAAAGAACUUUGGAAAGAGAGUUAAACAGUACGUGAAAUUGCUGAAAGGGAAACGCUUGAAGUCAGUCGCGUUGUCCAGGGAUCAACCUUGCUUUUGCUUGGUGCACUUUCUGGUUGACGGGUCAGCAUCAAUUUUGACUAUUGGAAAAAGAUUAGGGGAAUGUGGCAUCUUAGGAUGUGUUAUAGCCCUUGGUUGUAUACAAUGGUUGGGAUUGAGGAACUCAGCACGCCGCAAGGCCGGGUUUUAACCACGUACGUGCUUAGGAUGCUGGCAUAAUGGCUUUAAUCGACCCGUCUUGAAACACGGACCAAGGAGUCUAACAUGCCUGCGAGUGUUUGGGUGGAAAACUCGAGCGCGUAAUGAAAGUGAAAGUUGAGAUCCCUGUCGUGGGGAGCAUCGACGCCCGGACCAGACCUUUUGUGACGGUUCCGCGGUAGAGCAUGUAUGUUGGGACCCGAAAGAUGGUGAACUAUGCCUGAAUAGGGUGAAGCCAGAGGAAACUCUGGUGGAGGCUCGUAGCGAUUCUGACGUGCAAAUCGAUCGUCAAAUUUGGGUAUAGGGGCGAAAGACUAAUCGAACCAUCUAGUAGCUG
This 929-nucleotide ribosomal RNA is filed under the name Cortinarius castaneodiscus. Its description in RNAcentral is "LSU rRNA". It matches the Rfam family "Eukaryotic large subunit ribosomal RNA", at positions 37 to 953 of the family's 3401-position model. The record is from RNAcentral. Lineage: Eukaryota; Fungi; Basidiomycota; Agaricomycetes; Agaricales; Cortinariaceae.